Non-coding RNA from Lentinula boryana, 90 nucleotides. The record is from the annotation of a GenBank genome assembly. NCBI's taxonomy places the organism in Eukaryota, Fungi, Basidiomycota, Agaricomycetes, Agaricales, Omphalotaceae.
GCAUUAAUGGGGUAGUGGUAACCUGGGUCGUUGCCAGUGGCCACCAAUUCAAGUCUCGACCCGCCGGGGGUUCGAUUCCCUCUUAAUGCA